RNAcentral lists this ribosomal RNA (355 nucleotides) under uncultured eukaryote. Its description in RNAcentral is "bacterial SSU rRNA". It matches the Rfam family "Eukaryotic small subunit ribosomal RNA", at positions 572 to 868 of the family's 1831-position model. The record is from RNAcentral.
AGCCGCGGUAACACCAGCUGCACAAGUGUAUAUUAAAGUUGUUGCAGUUAAAAAGCUCGUAGUUGGAUAUCUGUCUUGACUGACCUAGCCCUAGGCCUUCGGGUUCUGGCGUGCUGGUUGUGGCGACCUCUGCUUCGGCGGUUGUGUUGCCCGUCAUGUCGGACAUACUUCAGGAAAUCUAUCCUGCCUUUAAUUAGGUUGGGGUAAGGAUCCUGAUCGUUUACUUCGAAAGAAUUAGAGUGUUUAACGCAGGCUUUGUGUCGCGAAUAUAUUAGCAUGGAAUAAUAAGAUAGGGCUUCGGCAAUGUAGGGAGAUGCCAUGUCUGGUCUCUGUGGUCUUCGGACGGCGUUAUCGG